CUACGUGCCAGCAGCCGCGGUAAUACGUAGGUGGCGAGCGUUGUCCGGAAUCAUUGGGCGUAAAGGGAGCGCAGGCGGGCCGGUAAGUCUUACUUAAAAGUGCGGGGCUCAACCCCCGUUCGCUCCCGAUACCGGCAGACUUGAGUUUGGUAGGGGAAGGUGGAAUUCCUAGUGUAGCGGUGGAAUGCGCAGAUAUUAGGAAGAACACCAGUGGCGAAGGCGGCCUUCUGGGCCAUAACUGACGCUGAGGAGCGAAAGCUAGGGGAGCAAACAGGAUUAGAUACCCUGGUAGUCCUAGCCGUAAACGUUGGGCACUAGGUGUGGGGGACAUUCCACGUUUUCCGCGCCGUAGCUAACGCAUUAAGUGCCCCGCCUGGGGAGUACGGCCGCAAGGCUAAAACUCAAAGAAAUUGACGGGGGCCCGCACAAGCGGCGGAGCAUGCGGAUUAAUUCGAUGCAACGCGAAGAACCUUACCAAGGCUUGACAU
RNAcentral lists this ribosomal RNA (488 nucleotides) under uncultured bacterium. RNAcentral's name for it is "bacterial SSU rRNA". It matches the Rfam family "Bacterial small subunit ribosomal RNA", at positions 501 to 987 of the family's 1533-position model. The record is from RNAcentral.